CGUGGGUAAUCUGCCUCCGAGUGGGGAAUAACACCGGGAAACUGGUGCUAAUACCGCAUGACAUCGCCGGGCCUUCGGGCCUGGGGAUCAAAGCCGGGGACCGCAAGGCCUGGCGCUUGGAAACGAGCCCCCGACUAAUUAGCUAGUUGGCGGCGAAACGCCCCACCAACGAUACGAUCCGUACUCAGCCUGAGAGGGCGGACGGCCACACUGGGACUGAGACACGGCCCAGACUCCUACGGGAGGCAGCAGUGGGGAAUUUUUCGCAAUGGGGGAAACCCUGACGAAGCAACGCCGCGUGGAGGAUGAAGGCCUUCGGGUCGUAAACUCCUGUCGACCGGGACGAAAAUAGUCUGACCUAAUACGUCCGGCUAUCGACUGUACCCGGUGGAGGAAAAAAAAACCCCAAUAUCUUUUCAAUACCCCGGUAAUACAGAGGUGGCAAGCGUUGUUCCGAAUUACUGGGCGUAAAGGGCGCGUAGGCGGUUCGUUUAAGUCCUGUGUGAAUUCCCCCGGCUCAAUGGGGGAACUGCACAGGAAACUACCGGGCUUGAUUUCGGGAAAGGGAAGCGGAAUUCCGGGUGUACGGUGAAAUGCGUAGAUAUCCGGGAGGAACACCGGUGGG
RNAcentral lists this ribosomal RNA (625 nucleotides) under uncultured bacterium. RNAcentral describes it as "bacterial SSU rRNA". It matches the Rfam family "Bacterial small subunit ribosomal RNA", at positions 116 to 716 of the family's 1533-position model. The record is from RNAcentral.